GACGAACGCUGGCGGCGUGCCUAAUACAUGCAAGUCGAACGGAGCGGCGCACGGGUGAGUAACGCGUGAGUAACUGCCCCCCUCUCUGGGCUGACAGUUGGAAACGGCUGCUAAUACCGGAUAGUGGGGGAUGAUACGCGGCCUAUCAGCUUGUUGGUGGGGUAGUGGCCUACCAAUGCGACGACGGGUAGCCGGCCUGAGAGGGCGACCGGCCACAUUGGGCUGGGAGAGCGCCCAAAGGCCUACGGGAGGAAGCAGUGGGGAAUAGUGCACGACGGGGGAAGCGCUGAUGCAGCAACGCCGCGUGGGAGAUGACGGUGUUCGGGGUGGAAACCGCUUUCAGCCAUGACGCGGUAGUGGCAGAAGAAGCACCGGCUAACUACGUGCCAGCAGCCGCGGUAAUAC
This 405-nucleotide ribosomal RNA is filed under the name uncultured bacterium. RNAcentral's name for it is "partial 16S ribosomal RNA". It matches the Rfam family "Bacterial small subunit ribosomal RNA", at positions 28 to 526 of the family's 1533-position model. The record is from RNAcentral.